AGAUGUGAUCAUACCAGCACUAAAGCACCGGAUCCCAUCAGAACUUUGAAGUUAAGCGUGCUUGGGCGUGAGUAGUACUAGGAUGGGUGACCUCCUGGGAAGUCCUCGUGUUGCAUUCC
RNAcentral lists this ribosomal RNA (119 nucleotides) under Triticum aestivum (bread wheat). The record is from RNAcentral. Lineage: Eukaryota; Viridiplantae; Streptophyta; Magnoliopsida; Poales; Poaceae.